UUUAGAGUCCAAAACUACACUAUGGAUUGCUUUAGUGCAAAUUGAUCGAAGCAAUCAAAUAAUAAUCAUCCAAGCAUCCCAUGUCUAACAAAAAUCAUGUACUUUCCAGGCCCUCUUCACAAGCCCAUCUACAUUUAAUAAGAUGUCAGCUUGCAAACUGAAAACAUCUGGGCGCAAAAAAAUAUUUCAUAAGAAAUCCAAUCCAAAGUAAACUUUAUAAUUCGACACAUUAUAUAGCAACUCAAGUGGAC
RNAcentral lists this long non-coding RNA (251 nucleotides) under Hordeum vulgare. Its description in RNAcentral is "long non-coding RNA (HVUL_LNC015609)". The record is from RNAcentral. Lineage: Eukaryota; Viridiplantae; Streptophyta; Magnoliopsida; Poales; Poaceae.